CCUACGGGUGGCAGCAGUGGGGGAUAUUGCACAAUGGGGGAAACCCUGAUGCAGCGACGCCGCGUGUGGGAAGACGGUCCUCUGGAUUGUAAACCACUGUCCCCAGGGACGAAGAUGACGGUACCUGGGGCGGAAGCUCCGGCUAACUACGUGCCAGCAGCCGCGGUAAUACGUAGGGAGCGAGCGUUGUUCGAAAUUACUGGGGGAAAGGGGAGCGUAGGGGGGACUGCAAGUUGGGUGUCAAAUCUACCGGCUCAACCGGUAGCCCAACGCAAAACUGCAGUUCUUGAAUGAAGUAGAGGCGGGCGGAAUUCCUGGUGUAGCGGUGAAAUGCGUAGAUAUUAGGAGGAACACCAGUGGCGAAGGCGGCCUGCUGGGCUUUUACUGACGCUGAGGCUCGAAAGUGUGGGGAGCAAACAGGAUUAGAUACCCUAGUAGUC
RNAcentral lists this ribosomal RNA (440 nucleotides) under uncultured bacterium. Its description in RNAcentral is "partial 16S ribosomal RNA". It matches the Rfam family "Bacterial small subunit ribosomal RNA", at positions 338 to 795 of the family's 1533-position model. The record is from RNAcentral.